UCUGAACCUUAAAUCGGAUUGGAUUCUGAUGGGAUGAAUAUGUCAGAUUAAUUUGGGAUAGGAUCAGACCAGGUUAAUUCAAAUGACAAAUAUCAGUUGAAUUUGGGGGGGGACGUCGAUGUGGUUACCAAUUGCCAAAGAAGGCUAAGAUUGUCUAGCCAAAUUGUGGGCAAAAGGAGAAUAAUAAGAGCAAUAAUGACAACAAAGCAUUGAUUUCCACCAAGUGUCAAUCCUUCAAGUUUAAUUGCCAUAUCUGGAAAAAGAUUCUCCAACUCCUCUCUUUCGAAGAUCAAGAAUCAAUUAGUAGAGGUCAUGACAACUGAAACAAUUAGUCUUUCCUUCUUCCCAGAGGCUCGGUGCUGGCUGGUUCGGGAGUUGAUGUGGGUUUGGGGCUGCCGACUACGUUUGUGGCUGCGGGUUUGUGAAUCUGGCCAACGAUGUCAAUGCGGCUGGGUUCGUGGGUUUGGUUGGGUUCGUAGACUUUGUCUAAUUCAAGUUGACAAGUUCUUAUCCGAAUCCAAUCCAAUGCCUAGUCCUAGUAAGCAUGCUCAAAAGGUAUGGAAACUGACCGCUUUUCGUACGGUAAAUGUUGGGUGCACUUCAAGAGCUGGCAACGAGCAGUGAGGAAGGAGAACACACUGAAUCGGAUUCCUCUUAAUACGAAAGGCAGCAAGGCAGCAAUAUUUUGUGUAUCAAACAACUUCUUGAACUCCAUUUCCUUCAUCUAGCACAAUUGAUGAAAUAAUAAGUCAAUAACAAGCAGAGAGUCUCCUGUGAUAAUUUGAAAAGUAAAACUAUCUUUC
This 803-nucleotide long non-coding RNA is filed under the name Citrus maxima (pomelo). Its description in RNAcentral is "long non-coding RNA (CMAX_LNC001091)". Lineage: Eukaryota; Viridiplantae; Streptophyta; Magnoliopsida; Sapindales; Rutaceae. The record is from RNAcentral.